Molecule: ribosomal RNA, 253 nt
Filed under: uncultured bacterium
Lineage: Bacteria
Description: partial 16S ribosomal RNA
Rfam family: Bacterial small subunit ribosomal RNA
Source: RNAcentral
GACGUAGGGGGCCAGCGUUGUUCGGAAUUACUGGGUGUAAAGGGUUCGUAGGCGGUGUGGCAAGUCGGGAGUGAAAUCUCUGGGCUCAACCCAGAGGCUGCUUCCGAAACUGCUGUGCUUGAGUGUGGGAGAGGCGCGUGGAAUUCCAGGUGUAGCGGUGAAAUGCGUAGAUAUCUGGAGGAAUACCGGUGGCGAAGGCGGCAUCCUGGACCGGCAUUGACGCUGAUGAGCGAAAGCUAGGGGAGCAAACGGG